UGGGGAAUUUUGGACAAUGGGCGCAAGCCUGAUCCAGCCAUGCCGCGUGCAGGAUGAAGGCCCUCGGGUUGUAAACUGCUUUUGUACGGAACGAAAAGCCUCUUUCUAAUAAAGAGGGGUGAUGACGGUACCGUAAGAAUAAGCACCGGCUAACUACGUGCCAGCAGCCGCGGUAAUACGUAGGGUGCGAGCGUUAAUCGGAAUUACUGGGCGUAAAGCGUCCGCAGGCGGUCUUGCAAGACAGUGGUGAAAUCCCCGGGCUCAACCUGGGAACUGCCAUUGUGACUGCAAGGCUGGAGUACGGCAGAGGGGGAUGGAAUUCCGCGUGUAGCAGUGAAAUGCGUAGAUAUGCGGAGGAACACCGAUGGCGAAGGCAGUCCCCUGGGCCUGUACUGACGCUCAUGCACGAAAGAGUGGGGAGCAAACA
This 427-nucleotide ribosomal RNA is filed under the name uncultured bacterium. RNAcentral describes it as "bacterial SSU rRNA". It matches the Rfam family "Bacterial small subunit ribosomal RNA", at positions 355 to 774 of the family's 1533-position model. The record is from RNAcentral.